RNAcentral lists this ribosomal RNA (266 nucleotides) under uncultured bacterium. Its description in RNAcentral is "partial 16S ribosomal RNA". It matches the Rfam family "Bacterial small subunit ribosomal RNA", at positions 45 to 334 of the family's 1533-position model. The record is from RNAcentral.
AUGCUUAACACAUGCAAGUCGCACGGGCAGCUUCGGCUGUCAGUGGCGGACGGGUGAGUAACGCGUAGGUAUCUAUCCUUGGGUGGGGGAUAACCACGGGAAACUGUGGCUAAUACCGCAUGAAGACCGAGGUCCAAAGGCGCAAGUCGCCUAAGGAGGAGCCUGCGUCCGAUUAGCUUGUUGGUGGGGUAAAGGCCUACCAAGGCUCCGAUCGGUAGCUGGUCUGAGAGGAUGAUCAGCCACACUGGGACUGAGACACGGCCCAG